Molecule: ribosomal RNA, 494 nt
Filed under: uncultured bacterium
Lineage: Bacteria
Description: partial 16S ribosomal RNA
Rfam family: Bacterial small subunit ribosomal RNA
Source: RNAcentral
GACGAACGCUGGCGGCGUGCUUAACACAUGCAAGUCGAACGGUGAAGCGCCUUCCUUUUUGGUGGGUGUGGAUGAGUGGCGAACGGGUGAGUAACACGUGAGUAACCUGCCCCCUUCUUCUGGAUAACCGCAUGAAAGUGUGGCUAAUACGGGAUAUUCUGGGUCUGUCGCAUGAUGGGUCUGGGAAAGAUAUUGUUUCGGUGGGGGAUGGGCUCGCGGCCUAUCAGCUUGUUGGUGGGGUGAUGGCCUACCAAGGCGGUGACGGGUAGCCGGCCUGGGAGGGUGGACGGUCACACUGGGACUGAGACACGGCCCAAACUCCUACGGGAGGCAGCAGUGGGGAAUAUUGCACGAUGGGCGCAAGCCUGAUGCAGCGACGCCGCGUGAGGGAUGGAGGCCUUCGGGUUGUGAACCUCUUUCGCCAGUGAAGCAGGCCUGCCUCGUUUGUGGGUGGGUUGACGGUAGCUGGAUAAGAAGCGCCGGCUAACUACGUG